RNAcentral lists this long non-coding RNA (225 nucleotides) under Setaria viridis. Its description in RNAcentral is "long non-coding RNA (SVIR_LNC004145)". Lineage: Eukaryota; Viridiplantae; Streptophyta; Magnoliopsida; Poales; Poaceae. The record is from RNAcentral.
GAGAUUUCACACAAACUUAUGCAUUUGUCAAGGGGGAGAGCAUGGGGAGUGCAUUUGCUCAGGGGAAGCUUUGUGAGCUUUUAUGCUUUUUUGCCAGUCGCGUUAAGCUUCUUACCUCUUCUUGAGGAGCCGGUUUUUAUUUGAGCUUGUGAUUUUCAUGUGAUUGGUGUUGAGCCUGUUUCUUCCUCUUCUUAAGGGAUCACAUGAUUUUGUCUUAGUCGUGUC